UAACAGACAGCAGUGUAAGGGUUAAUAACAGCAGUGUAAGGGUUAAUAACAGACAGCAGUGUAAGGGGUUAACAACAGCAGUGUAAGGGUUAAUAACAGACAGCAGUGUAAGGGUUAAUAACAGACAGCAGUGUAAGGGUUAAUAACAGCAGUGUAAGGGUUAAUAACAGACAGCAGUGUAAGGGUUAAUAACAGACAGCAGUGUAAGGGUUAAUAACAGACAGCAGUGUAAGGGUUAACAGACAGCAGUGUAAGGGUUAAUAACAGACAGCAGUGUAAGGGUUAAUAACAGACAGCAGUGUAAGGG
This 307-nucleotide long non-coding RNA is filed under the name Salmo salar (Atlantic salmon). Its description in RNAcentral is "lncRNA (ENSSSAG00000086974.1)". The record is from RNAcentral. Lineage: Eukaryota; Metazoa; Chordata; Actinopteri; Salmoniformes; Salmonidae.